Molecule: ribosomal RNA, 207 nt
Filed under: uncultured eukaryote
Lineage: Eukaryota
Description: partial large subunit ribosomal RNA
Rfam family: Eukaryotic large subunit ribosomal RNA
Source: RNAcentral
AUAUUAUUAGGCGGAGGAAAAGAACUAACAAGGAUUUCCCAAGUAAGGGCGACUGAAAGGGAAAAAGCCCAGCGCUGAAUUCAGUAGCGUCUCGCUGCUUGGACCUGUAGCGUUUAGGCAAGCCUUUCCGGCAAGCUGUGUCUUGGCAGUCCAAGUCCCCUUGAGCGGGGCCACAGCCCAUAGAGGGUGCAAGGCCCAUACGGAGUU